This 3803-nucleotide unclassified non-coding RNA is filed under the name Leishmania donovani. Its description in RNAcentral is "gene:LdHU3.34.5400(CDS-product:DNA_topoisomerase_ IB_large_subunit)". The record is from RNAcentral. Lineage: Eukaryota; Euglenozoa; Kinetoplastea; Trypanosomatida; Trypanosomatidae.
UCAGCAGUGCGCUCCCCGCCUCCUCCCCCUCCCCCGCCAGCCCCCACUUUCUUCGCAGCCGCAGAGGCACCAAGCCAAAUCGGAACGAAAGACGGUUUACUUUUAUUUCGCGUCUCAAAUCGUCCUCAGUGGGUCUUUUGUGUGUGCGUGUGUGUGCGUGCUUGUCCCUCUUUCCCUCUACCGCGUUCUUGCGACUUCAACAGGAGGGGGGCCGUAUCACCUCUCUCCUCCCCGCCCCGCCGCGCCCCGGUGUGUUGCCGGCGUUUUUUUUUCCAUUCCUGUUCUUUUUUUUUUUUGGUUUUGUACCUCUUGUCUGCGCCAUAUUUUUGCUCGUUGUGGGCGCGUUGCGCUAACGAAGAAGACAAGCAAAACAAACUUCGGAUAAAGCAGCACGAAACAAAAAAGGAGACGCCUUUCCGUGUCUGCGGGGGUGACUGCCCGUCUUGUUGCGUUGGUCUGUCGUCACAUUUAUUUUUUCCCCGUUGGCGUUUACUUGUACCUCCCCUCCCUUACACCCUUGACUCUAACAACAGCAUUUUUUGUGUGUUUCAUUUAUUUAUUUAUUUUUUGGUGUGUUUGUUUGUGUCUCUUGCUCCAUCUACUUACCCUUUCGUCCCACUGUGUCAACUGCGCACUCUUCAUCUCUACGAACCUCGCCCACAUAUAGGUACUCCUCUUCGCUGUUUCUGCUGUCACCGUGACAGCAUCCGCCGCAUCAUGAAGGUGGAGAAUAGCAAGAUGGGGGUGAAGCGAGAGCAGAGCCACUCCAAUGAGGAUGAAGAAAUCAACGAGGAGGACCUGAACUGGUGGGAGCAGGAAAACCUCCGUAUCGCCAUGAAGGGCGAGCGUCGCUGGGAGACGCUGGCCCACAACGGCGUCCUUUUUCCACCCGAGUACGAGCCCCACGGCAUCCCCAUCUUCUACGACGGACGCGAGUUCAAGAUGACGCCGGAGGAGGAAGAAGUGGCGACGAUGUUCGCCGUGAUGAAGGAGCACGACUACUACCGUAUGGAGGUGUUCCGGCGCAACUUCUUCGAAAGCUGGCGCGAGAUCCUGGACAAGCGCCAGCACCCCAUCCGUCGCCUGGAGCUCUGCGACUUCGAGCCCAUUUAUCAGUGGCACCUCGUCCAGCGGGAAAAGAAGCUCAGCCGGACGAAAGAAGAAAAGAAGGCCAUCAAGGAGAAGCAGGACGCGGAGGCAGAACCGUACCGAUACUGCGUGUGGGACGGGCGUCGCGAGCAGGUGGCGAAUUUCCGCGUUGAGCCGCCGGGACUGUUCCGCGGACGCGGCAAGCACCCGCUAAUGGGCAAGCUGAAGGUGCGCGUGCAGCCGGAGGACAUUACAAUCAAUAUUGGCGAGACGGCUGAGGUGCCGGUGCCGCCUGCGGGGCACAAAUGGGCUGCUGUGCAGCACGACCACACCGUGACGUGGCUUGCCAUGUGGCGCGACAGCGUGGCUGGAAACAUGAAGUACGUCAUGCUCGCCCCGUCUUCCAGUGUCAAGGGACAGUCCGACAUGGUGAAGUUCGAGAAGGCACGCAAGCUCAAAGACAAAGUGGAUGACAUUCGCGCAUCCUACAUGGAGGAUUUCAAGUCCAAUGAUUUGCACGUGGCGCAGCGGGCCGUCGCCAUGUACUUUAUUGACCGCCUCGCCCUCCGCGUUGGUAAUGAGAAGGGCGAGGACGAGGCGGAUACGGUGGGUUGCUGCUCGCUGCGUGUGGAGCACAUCCAGCUCAUGCCGGACAACAUCGUGCGGUUCGACUUCCUGGGCAAGGACUCGAUCCGCUACCAGAACGAUGUGGCGGUGCUGCCGGAGGUGUACGCGCUACUGCAGCGUUUCACUCGUCGUAAGUCGCCGGGCAUGGACAUCUUUGACCAGCUCAACCCCACGCAGCUGAAUGACCACCUCAAGUCCUUCAUGGACGGCCUCUCUGCCAAGGUGUUCCGUACCUACAAUGCCUCCAUCACCCUCGAUCGGUGGUUCAAAGAAAAGCCGGUCGACCCCAAAUGGUCCACCGCGGACAAGCUGGCCUACUUCAACAAGGCGAACACCGAGGUGGCCAUUCUGUGCAACCAUCAGAAGUCCGUCUCGAAGAACUUCAAGUUGCAGAUGAUGCAGCUGACCACCAAGUCCGAGUACACCCGCAAGACGAUUGAGCUCCUGGAGAAGGCGGAGGUGACCGCCAAGAAGAAGUCGGUCGAGGAGGCUGCGAAGGAGUUUCUGGAGGAGCAGGACCGCAUGCAGCGCGAGUGGCUGGAGAGCUACGGCACGGAGGAGCAGAAGAAGGAGUUCGAGGAGAUCGUGGCAAAGCGUGCGGCGCCGCGCGUGCGGUCUGAGAAGAAGAAAUCCACGUCGGGCGCCAAGAAGGCCGAGUCCGCAUCUGGCAAGAAGAGGGCCGCCAAAAAGAAGAAGUCUGCCAAGAAGGGUGGAAAGAUGUUGAGCAAGAAGGCAGCAAGCAAGUCGUCCAAGAAGGCGCCAAAGAAGUUGAAGGAGGAGGACGAGGACGACGUGCCGCUCGUGAGCGUGGCAGCCAAGACGAAGAAGACGGCUGGCGUCAAGCGGCAGCGCGCCAACAAGGUGGUCAGUGACGACGAUGAUGUGCCUCUUGCAGCUUUGAGGGUGUAGGUACGAGUACUGCACCGCGUAAGACAAGGAAAAGGGAGCGAAGAAGCACGCCUACACUCGCCAACCCGGAGGGAUGAGUGCAGUGCUGUGUUGAGUGUGUUGCAUUUCGGUGUCUUUUAUAUGGUCGUGUGUGUAUAACGUCGUCGAUGCUCUCAGCGGUUUACUCCCGUGUGCACAUUCACAAGUGACUCCGUUCGUCUGUCGGUGUUGGAGUGCGUAUGGUCGUUGUGGCGGUGGUUCUCUGGAUCCGCAUGCGUUUGUGCUUGCUUAUUGUGUGUGUGUGUGUGUGUGUAGAGGUGUGUCUGCUUCAUCUGAUCCCCUGUGCCCCGCCCCUCCCCCGGCCUCUAGGCCCCUGUCCCUCUUGUGUUCUCGUUCGCGCCCCCUUGUGUGUUAGGCGGGCUCUCAACCUCUGAAGUUCGGACUCGGCUGUCGCGUGCCCUACUGGUUGUGUGUGUGCGUGUACGUGUGUGUAUGUGCUUGCUAGCGCGUGCGCGAAUCACCCAGUCUCUUGUUAGCUGCCACCAGCCACUACUCACGGAAAAGUGGGCCAAACGAAAGUGAGGCACAGCAUGUAGGGGCGUCCCCUUGUAGACGCGCGCGUCGCCUGGUUGGUACCGUUGCAAACCGUUGCACAUAUGGAGGUUCUGAACGUCAUCGUUUUUUUUUGGUGGUGUGGGGAGCCUCGCAUGCGUCUCUGGGUAUCUAUAAGUGUCUCCGUUUGUUUUCCUCCUCCACUGUUCGACGUUUUGCUGUUGUCUACCUGCGCACAGCGUAUACUUGUGUGCGCCCGCCUCUUUACUUAUCCUCGCCGUCACCGCUGCCACGAUGCGAGGGCGUGUCGCGGAGAAGAGAGGGGGAGGGCCAAUGUCGACCAUCUCAAUAGAGUAAGGCGAGCGAAGGUCAAAGCCAUACACGUUCUCCAGGGCCGCUACUUUGCGUCACCAUGUGCAUUGCCAGGAGGAGUACCUGAACACGUGGGUGGACAAGACGUCCGCCGUGGCGCUACCUGGAACACGUCGCUGCCAGUGCGGCGGAUAUGGUGAGUGGGAAGAAGAAGCCUUGAAACUCCGAGCCUACCGACUCCUCACGUUUGUUUUACGAAUGCCCGCUAUCCCUCCCCCUCCCCCUCCGUUCCGUCGUCUUGACGUCUCCAUGAAUUCCUUCGCCCUCUCUUGAAG